Molecule: ribosomal RNA, 292 nt
Filed under: uncultured bacterium
Lineage: Bacteria
Description: partial 16S ribosomal RNA
Rfam family: Bacterial small subunit ribosomal RNA
Source: RNAcentral
GUGUCAGCAGCCGCGGUAAGACGAACCACACAAACGUUAUUCGGAAUUACUGGGCUUAAAGGGUGCGUAGGCGGCGCAGAAAGUAGGGUGUGAAAUCCCUCGGCUCAACCGAGGAACUGCGCCCUAAACUACUGUGCUCGAGGGAGGUAGAGGUGAGCGGAACUUAGGGUGGAGCGGUGAAAUGCGUUGAUAUCCUAAGGAACACCGGUGGCGAAAGCGGCUCACUGGACCUCUUCUGACGCUGAGGCACGAAAGCUAGGGUAGCGAACGGGAUUAGAAACCCCCGUAGUCC